UAAGGAAUAUUGGGCAAUGGUCGAAAGACUGACCCAGCCAUGCCGCGUGCAGGAUGAAGGCCCUAUGGGUUGUAAACUGCUUUUAGCCGGGAAUAAUUACCCGUUCUCUAACGGGCUUGAAGGUACCGGCUGAAUAAGCAUCGGCUAACUCCGUGCCAGCAGCCGCGGUAAUACGGAGGAUGCAAGCGUUAUCCGGAUUCACUGGGUUUAAAGGGUGCGCAGGCGGACAUUUAAGUCAGGGGUGAAAUCCUACAGCUUAACUGUAGAACUGCCCUUGAUACUGAAUGCCUAGAGUAAAGUUGAAGUGGGCGGAAUGUGUUGUGUAGCGGUGAAAUGCUUAGAUAUAACACAGAACACCAAUCGCGAAGGCAGCUCACUAAACUUUAACUGACGCUCAUGCACGAAAGCGUGGGGAGCAAACA
This 422-nucleotide ribosomal RNA is filed under the name uncultured prokaryote. RNAcentral describes it as "bacterial SSU rRNA". It matches the Rfam family "Bacterial small subunit ribosomal RNA", at positions 355 to 774 of the family's 1533-position model. The record is from RNAcentral.